Long non-coding RNA from Bicyclus anynana (squinting bush brown), 839 nucleotides. RefSeq lists it as uncharacterized. The transcript has 4 exons. Lineage: Eukaryota; Metazoa; Arthropoda; Insecta; Lepidoptera; Nymphalidae. The record is from RefSeq and is a predicted model, not a curated record.
UAUUCGUUGGUAAACAAAACGAUGCAAUACGAAAUUUCAUCAGCCAUAAAUUUUCUUAGUACAAUCGAGAAACUGGCUAAAAUAGUUUGAGGCCAAAGAUUACUGUAGCGAUUGGCUGGGCGGUACAGAAAUAGAAGCUGUGUUUUUGAAUGAAGCUUUAAGUAAACUCCGCUUUAGUCAUUGAGAUUGAAAAUCCAGAAGGCGAUCCUGGAUGCCUUGCAGCUGUGCUGGCGGUGAGUUUGAUAAGCCAGGUACUAGACGAGGCCUCAAUUAUUGCCAAUGCUGCUAGAGAUUCAGGUCUACACUGGCAAUACAUAUCAAGCUUAAAAAAGUUACGUAGUCCCCAUUUGAACGUUCAACAUUAUGACGAAGAUAUGACUUUUACGACGGUAUCAAACGGCGACACCCAAUAUCUAAACGAUAACAUCGAAAAUCUAUUAAAUACUAUUGUCACGUCUACACCAGAACAACCAAUUGCUCUGGCCAGGCAAUUUAGGAACGAUUCAAAUAUGAUAAUAGGUCAAGGUGAUGAAGAAUUUGAUGUGGUAAGUGAAGUGAUAGGUAUCUCCGUAACUAUUGGCCUAUAUCCAAUAGGUUCAGACAUUUCUUUUAUUCACUUAUUAAUAGACACUUAGGUUCAUGUACCUAAGCUAGUUGUUUGUUUUUAUUUUUUGCCGGUGCCUUUUCAUUUUUUUAAUUUUAAUAUUCUGUGUUUCUCUGAUUUUAAUUCUAAUUUGUAAUCAUGUUUUUCGGUUUAAUUUUAGUCUGCUUUUCUGUAUUUCUAUACUAAGUGUAUUGUGUACCUGGACUCUGGCCUGUAAUAAAAUUAUUUUAUUUUA